RNAcentral lists this long non-coding RNA (661 nucleotides) under Gallus gallus (chicken). Its description in RNAcentral is "lncRNA (ENSGALG00010013941.1)". Lineage: Eukaryota; Metazoa; Chordata; Aves; Galliformes; Phasianidae. The record is from RNAcentral.
GGACAUACUGCAGACAGACAUGGACCAUGAAGAUGCUGCAGGGCCUGGGAGUCCCUUUCCUGUGAGGAGAGGUGGAAAGAGCUGGGCCUGCUCAGACUGAAAAAGAGGGGGCUCUGGGGGACCCCAUCAAUGUCCAUAAAUACCUGAAGGGACAGGAGAAAGAGGACAGAGCAAGGCUUUGUUCAGAGGUGCUCAGUGCCAGGACAAGAGGCCAUGGGCACAAACUGGAGCACAGGGGUUCCCUCUGAGCACCAGGCAGCACUGCUGUGCUGUGCCAUGCCCGAGCACCAGGCCAAAGCACCACAGGCCCUGAGGUCUCCUCCUUAGGGCCUGGGCCCCGCUCUGGGUGUCCCUGCUGGAGUAGAGGAGUGGUGUUGAAUAUUUGUGUUGCUGGAAGUAUAUGUGAGAGGAGAUGUAGAAAAUGUGGCAUCGUGGUUACUGGCAAGAUGUGCAGUGCCGAGGAGGAAAAUCUGAUGAGGAAUCCCCAGCAUCGUAAAUGGAUAAUGUGGUGUUGACUGGAGUGAGAAGCAGCAGCAUUUCCCAGCAAAGAGCACGCAUGCUGAGCUUCUGUGGCUGGUAAAACACAGCAGAUGACUUCUGAUACGUGCCAGUGUGUGAGGAGAAGGAAGCAUUUCCUGAGAGCAGAUAUGUGAAGAUAUUC